CAAAUUCAGCCUUCUGGAUACUUAUUCCCUUUCUUCAUUUUGCAGAUGUGAUUAUUCCUUCUACAGUCUAUUAGUAGUUUAAAUAGAAAAUUUCCAGAGAAAUAUGUGGGUCUAAUUGAAGAGAAGAGCAAAAGAAAUAAUCAACAUCCUAGAGAAAUGUGGGUUCUGAGGAAAGAAAUGGAUGGGUCAGAAGACUGUUGAAUUAUCUGCUCUGAUAGUAAUAUCAAUGUUAUCUUUGACUGAAGGAAGCUUUAGACUUAUUUUUCAUCUGCUGAACAUCCUGCUUGACAGUUGAAUGACUUUACUCCACGUAACACAAAUCAUGUUGCAGCUUGCCAACAGGAAUAUGAACAGCAACAGGUGAAUUUCUGACAAGAAGUUCCUGAAAAAGUAUGAAAUAAUUACUUCUUAUUUUGGCAUGUUUAUGGAACAGUUAAUACUUGGUGCUGCCUGUUUUAUGUAAAACCCAUACCAUUGUCUAGCUGUGGAUCAUAGGCACAGUUUAAUUCCCACCUCUUUGAGGCUGUGGAGUAAUUGCAUCAGCUCAUCGGUAACAUGAUUUUUUAUUUGCUGGGUACAGCAAAUAGAAAAUAGAUAUGAAACACAUUCCUUUGUGUAAGUGUAGUUUGCAUGCACACCUGCAAAUUGAUGAUGCUCACCUGAUUUACACCUCCCUCAUGAAAGCUGCAGCUUCUAUGGCACUUUGUUUCCUUGCACAGGAGUGCAAACUGAAGCUGUCUGUAUCUCUCCUUCAGAACGUUCUCCUCAAAGACUCAUGCUGUGGAUACGCAGGGACAAAUGGCUGGUAUGAAGGGGUCCUUUCAGAGAGCUGA
This 833-nucleotide long non-coding RNA is filed under the name Phasianus colchicus (ring-necked pheasant). RNAcentral's name for it is "lncRNA (ENSPCLG00000005827.1)". Lineage: Eukaryota; Metazoa; Chordata; Aves; Galliformes; Phasianidae. The record is from RNAcentral.